RNAcentral lists this non-coding RNA (165 nucleotides) under pig gut metagenome. Its description in RNAcentral is "Lysine riboswitch". It matches the Rfam family "Lysine riboswitch aptamer". Rfam says of the family: Riboswitches are metabolite binding domains within certain messenger RNAs that serve as precision sensors for their corresponding targets. The record is from RNAcentral.
AAAGAUAGAGGCGCGGUAAUUAUCAGUAGUAAAUCCUUUAAAAAGGUAUUUGGCAUUUAUGAAAGGAAUUAUCGCCGAAGUUUAAUCAUCAAUACCUGGGUGUUUAAACUGGUGUGUUGCAGAAUAUGUCUCACACUGUCACUGUGAUUGUGGAGCGCUAUCGGA